RNAcentral lists this unclassified non-coding RNA (528 nucleotides) under Coleophoma sp. MK1-2020. Its description in RNAcentral is "sequence contains 18S rRNA gene, ITS1, 5.8S rRNA gene, ITS2, 28S rRNA gene". The stretch from base 205 to 358 matches the Rfam family "5.8S ribosomal RNA". Lineage: Eukaryota; Fungi; Ascomycota; Leotiomycetes; Helotiales; Dermateaceae. The record is from RNAcentral.
UCGUAACAAGGUCUCCGUAGGUGAACCUGCGGAGGGAUCAUUACAGAGCAUCAUGCCCUUCGGGGUAGAUCUCCCACCCUGUGUAUUACAUACCUUAUGUUGCUUUGGCGGGCCGCCUCGGCCACCGGCUCCGGCUGGUGCGUGCCCGCCAGAGGACCCCAAACUCUGAAUGUUAGUGUCGUCUGAGUACUAUAUAAUAGUUAAAACUUUCAACAACGGAUCUCUUGGUUCUGGCAUCGAUGAAGAACGCAGCGAAAUGCGAUAAGUAAUGUGAAUUGCAGAAUUCAGUGAAUCAUCGAAUCUUUGAACGCACAUUGCGCCCUCUGGUAUUCCGGAGGGCAUGCCUGUUCGAGCGUCAUUACAACCCUCAAGCUCUGCUUGGCCUUGGGCGUCACCGGCUCCGGUGUGCCCCAAACCCAGUGGCGGUGCCAUCUGGCUCUAAGCGUAGUAACUAUUCUCGCUAUGGAUGCCCGGCGGAUGCUAGCCAACAACCCCCAACUUCUUAAGGUUGACCUCGGAUCAGGUAGG